ACAAACUUGGUCAUUUAGAGGAAGUAAAAGUCGUAACAAGGUUUCCGUAGGUGAACCUGCGGAAGGAUCAUUACACGUACACGCGGGCUCCGGCCCAGUGUUUGACCCUUGCUUUUCGCGUACCUGCCAUUUCCUCGGCGUGCUUGCGCGCCGUUAGGACACUUUCAACCUUUUGAAAUGCAAUCAGCGUAACAAAUUCAAUCGUAACAACUUUCAACAACGGAUCUCUUGGUUCUGGCAUCGAUGAAGAACGCAGC
Molecule: unclassified non-coding RNA, 257 nt
Filed under: uncultured fungus
Lineage: Eukaryota; Fungi
Description: partial contains small subunit ribosomal RNA, internal transcribed spacer 1, and 5.8S ribosomal RNA
Rfam family: Eukaryotic small subunit ribosomal RNA (bases 1-73)
Source: RNAcentral